RNAcentral lists this ribosomal RNA (291 nucleotides) under uncultured bacterium. Its description in RNAcentral is "partial 16S ribosomal RNA". It matches the Rfam family "Bacterial small subunit ribosomal RNA", at positions 55 to 339 of the family's 1533-position model. The record is from RNAcentral.
AUGCAAGUCGAGGGGCAGCAUGGGGGUUGCUUGCAAUCCCUGAUGGCGACCGGCGGAAGGGUGCGUAACGCGUGAGCGACAUGCCCGUUGCCCGGGGACAACCGGUGGAAACGCCGACUAAUCCCCGAUGGGACGGAGGCCCUCAUGGGUCUCUGUUGAAAGUUACGGCGGCGACGGAUUGGCUCGCGUCCGAUUAGCUAGUUGGCGGGGUAACGGCCCACCAAGGCUACGAUCGGUAGGGGUUCUGAGAGGAAGGUCCCCACAAUGGAACUGAGACACGGUCCAUACUCC